UCUCAAAGUAGCAUUCUCCACAAUUUGUCAAAAUGAACUUCGUCUUUGCUUUCCUUACGCUGCUCUUUGCUUUGGUGGUUAUUCUCGAAUUAGCUUCAGCCAUGCCUUCACCUAAGCCCGAGUGUCCUUUUGCACAACAAGCAGCUCAAACUCCUGGAUAUUAUCCACCAGGAGGAUAAAUUCCAAAAUUUCCCGAGUCAGUAGUGCUACAGGAUGGACCAGUUAAUCGCUUAAAAAUGCAAAACGAAUACAAUUUUGUUUUAAUUAGCCAAUGGUUACUCUAUUAAAUUCAGCUGGUACUAAUACAAGAUCAGCCUAAUGAUCGUCUAUUAGCUUUAACUGACUUUAUUUAAUUGACUAUUGACUGAAUAAACAUUUCUUUAUACGUUUGGCUUUCAUUAGGAAGAAAACUUGUUCGUAUGAUAUUCAUUGUUCGGAACCUGUGUAAACCAUAUUUUAUUGCUUCAAAUAAAAAUAUUUCCUCCUGUAAAA
Long non-coding RNA from Belonocnema kinseyi, 492 nucleotides. RefSeq lists it as uncharacterized. NCBI's taxonomy places the organism in Eukaryota, Metazoa, Arthropoda, Insecta, Hymenoptera, Cynipidae. The transcript has 2 exons. The record is from RefSeq and is a predicted model, not a curated record.